CAGCCGCCGCGGUAAUACGUAGGGUGCGAGCGUUAAUCGGAAUUACUGGGCGUAAAGCGUGCGCAGGCGGUGAUGUAAGACAGAUGUGAAAUCCCCGGGCUCAACCUGGGAACUGCAUUAGUGACUGCAUCGCUGGAGUGCGGCAGAGGGGGAUGGAAUUCCGCGUGUAGCAGUGAAAUGCGUAGAUAUGCGGAGGAACACCGAUGGCGAAGGCAAUCCCCUGGGCCUGCACUGACGCUCAUGCACGAAAGCGUGGGGAGCAAACAGGAUUAGAUACCCGGGUAGUCCCUGUCUCUUAUAC
This 301-nucleotide ribosomal RNA is filed under the name uncultured bacterium. RNAcentral describes it as "partial 16S ribosomal RNA". It matches the Rfam family "Bacterial small subunit ribosomal RNA", at positions 509 to 807 of the family's 1533-position model. The record is from RNAcentral.